CUUGACGACGAAAUAUAUUUUGGAAUUUAUUAACAUUCUCUAAAAAAGGUACUGUUAAUAAUCCCGCAGGUGCUGAAACAAUUAAAAGAACCCCCAAUAAUUUAUUGGGCACUGUACGAAGUAUUUGAAAUACAGAAAAGAAAUACCAUUCAGGUUAAUAAAUCUAUUGGACUUACUUAGUGAAAAUAGAUUGGAAAUCUUUAGCAUAAUUAAUAUAUUAAUAUAUUCAAAAUAAAUUCAGAAUUAAACUGAAUAGAUGUAUCUAAGGAGAAUUCACUUUAAAGAAACUAUACCCUAGAUACACAUGUCGUGUUAUUUCACAAUUGAAUCAAUUUAAAAAUUUAAAAAAGACCUAAAGUUAGGGAUUUAUCAAUAGGUAAUGUUGCACCAAUGUCCAACCAAAGGGCGUCUGCGGUACCAAUCAAAAAGAUAAUCGUCACUAUUGGAAGGCGAAAUAGAUUUUGGAAUUUAUUAACAUUCUCUAAAAAAGGUAUUGUUAAUAAUUCCACAGGAAUUGAAACCAUUAAAAUAACCCCCAAUAAUUUAUUGGGCACUGUACGAAGUAUUUGAAAUACAGGAAAGAAAUACCAUUCAGGUAAUAUUUCCAAAGGGGUUGCAAAUGGAUCUGCCGGUUUACCAAUCAUUGAUGGUUCUAAAACGGCUAAGCCUACAUUACAUGCAAUAGUACCUAGAUUACUAAUGGAAAAAUAUAUAAAAGAUCAUUGGGCCAUGUGGGCUCUCCAUAAUAAUUAUGACCCAUACUUUUAGCCAAUUUAGCUAUUAAUACAGGAUCAUUCAAGUAAGUUUUUUUUGGUUAUUGGGAUAGGUGAAGUCUUAUAGAUCCAUCCCCCGAGGGAACUGGACAUGAUAAUUUUUAAUCAUCCAGCUCGAGCAAGAAUAAAAAGAACCAAAUGAAUCUAUAUAUCCAUAUAAAAUAUAUAUAUGGUACAUGUAUUUACACAUACACAUAUAUGAUAUAGGAAUGGUUCAAUGUAAGCAAAAUUUGACUGAAUUCUUUUUUACGGAGUUGCAACUAUCCAUUACAAAACAAAGAAUUCCGUUCUUACAAGUAAAUACUCAAGACCCAAGUAGGCUUACAUCCAUUACAAAACAAAGGAUUUCGUUCUUACAAGUAAAUACUCAAGACCCAAGUAGGCUUACAAAUCGGAUCAUGAUAUGAUGAAGUGCUUUCUGGGUCGUCUCAGACCUUCUAAUUGGUAUUUAUCUCCAAAAUAUUUGGAGAUAUACAUACUAGGUUUGCUUGUUACUAAUAUAGUCUAGCCUCUCUUCUUCUUUAGAUCCCCUGUUUCACUCCGAUAGUAGUAUUAAUCGUGUCAAUGCAGAGGAAAUGAAUACAUUUACAUACUAUUUAAUCUUAUAAGUGAACUAGAUAAAAUGGAAUCUUGAUUCCAUUUUAUCUGGUUCACUUAUACGGGAUCUUACGGAGCCUGCUCAUGUACAACAUGAUUCGGACCUGAUCAUAGAAAAUAUUCUCUUUAAGCGAACCAGCCUAUCCUCUGUAUAUGGCUUACACGGAGAUUGGAACAAAGACACAUUUGGUUGUGAAUUCCCAUGUGGUAGGCAUAUAUCUACACAGACCAAUCAAUAGCUCAAGUCAUACACUCCCAUAAUCCAUUUUCUCUUCACAAAAUUCCCUUCAAUCCCCCGUUUAGUUGAUAUGAAUAGUUAAAGGAAAAUACCCAAACCCAUGUCUUAUUAUUUUCAAUAAUCCAUACUUGUAGCAAUGAAAUACUAUAUAUUCCUCCACCAAGUGAUAAAUGAUUAAUUACAAAUAUUUAGGAUCUAUUAUUCUUUUCUCUAAAAAGGCCCAGAAAUACCUUGUUUACGUAUCAUUGGAAAGUGCAUUAAC
This 1870-nucleotide long non-coding RNA is filed under the name Nicotiana benthamiana. RNAcentral's name for it is "long non-coding RNA (NBEN_LNC030548)". The record is from RNAcentral. Lineage: Eukaryota; Viridiplantae; Streptophyta; Magnoliopsida; Solanales; Solanaceae.